UACGGGGGGGGCAAGCGUUGUUCGGAAUUACUGGGCGUAAAGGGCUCGUAGGUGGCCAACUAAGUCAUACGUGAAAUCCCUCGGCUUAACCGGGGAACUGCGUCUGAUACUGGAUGGCUUGAGUUUGGGAGAGGGAUGCGGAAUUCCAGGUGUAGCGGUGAAAUGCGUAGAUAUCUGGAGGAACACCGGUGGCGAAGGCGGCAUCCUGGACCAAUACUGACACUGAGGGGCGAAAGCCAGGGGAGCAAACGGG
RNAcentral lists this ribosomal RNA (253 nucleotides) under uncultured bacterium. RNAcentral's name for it is "partial 16S ribosomal RNA". It matches the Rfam family "Bacterial small subunit ribosomal RNA", at positions 524 to 776 of the family's 1533-position model. The record is from RNAcentral.